This 492-nucleotide ribosomal RNA is filed under the name uncultured bacterium. RNAcentral's name for it is "partial 16S ribosomal RNA". It matches the Rfam family "Bacterial small subunit ribosomal RNA", at positions 29 to 507 of the family's 1533-position model. The record is from RNAcentral.
CGUGAACGCCGGCGGUAGGCCUAACACAUGCAAGUCGAACGGCAGCACAAUAAGAGCUUGCUCUUACGGGUGGCGAGUGGCGGACGGGUGAGGAAUACAUCGGAAUCUACUUUUUCGUGGGGGAGAACGUAGGGAAACUUACGCUAAUACCGCAUACGACCUACGGGUGAAAGCAGGGGAUCUUCAGAUCUUGCGCGACUGAAUGAGCCGAUGUCGGAUUAGCUAGUUGGCGGGGUACAGGCCCACCAAGGCGACGAUCCGUAGCUGUUCUUAGAGGAUGAUCGGCCACACUGGAACUGAGCCACGGGCCAGACUCCUAAGGGAAGCAGCAGUGGGGAAUAUUGGACAAUGGGCGCAAGCCUGAUCCAGCCAUACCGCGUGGGUGAAGAAGGCCUUCGGGUUGUAAAGCCCUUUUGUUGGGAAAGAAAAGCAGCAGGUUAAUACCCCGCUGUUCUGACGGUACCCAAAGAAUAAGCACCGGCUAACUUCGUG